This is a non-coding RNA of Bos taurus (domestic cattle), 73 nucleotides long. The record is from Rfam. NCBI's taxonomy places the organism in Eukaryota, Metazoa, Chordata, Mammalia, Artiodactyla, Bovidae.
UCCAUGGUUGUUCAGUGGUUAGGACUCUGCACUUUCACUGCAGGGGGCCCAGGUUCAACCCCAGCUCAGGGAA